GACGAACGCUGGCGGCGUGCUUAACACAUGCAAGUCGAACGGUAAGGCCCUUCGGGGUACACGAGUGGCGAACGGGUGAGUAACACGUGGGUGAUCUGCCCUGCACUUCGGGAUAAGCCUGGGAAACUGGGUCUAAUACCGGAUAGGACUCCUGGCUUCAUGGUUGGGGGUGGAAAGCUUUUGCGGUGUGGGAUGGGCCCGCGGCCUAUCAGCUUGUUGGUGGGGUAAUGGCCUACCAAGGCGACGACGGGUAGCCGGCCUGGGAGGGUGACCGGACACAGUGGGACUGCGAUACGGCCCAGGCUCCUACGGGAGGCAGCAGUGGGGAAUAUUGCACAAUGGGCGCAAGCCUGAUGCAGCGACGCCGCGUGAGGGAUGACGGCCUUCGGGUUGUAAACCUCUUUCAGCUAUGACGAAGCGCAAGUGACGGUAGUAGCAGAAGAAGGACCGGCCAACUACGUGCCAGCAGCCGCGGUAA
This 478-nucleotide ribosomal RNA is filed under the name uncultured bacterium. RNAcentral's name for it is "partial 16S ribosomal RNA". It matches the Rfam family "Bacterial small subunit ribosomal RNA", at positions 28 to 523 of the family's 1533-position model. The record is from RNAcentral.